This 468-nucleotide ribosomal RNA is filed under the name uncultured bacterium. Its description in RNAcentral is "partial 16S ribosomal RNA". It matches the Rfam family "Bacterial small subunit ribosomal RNA", at positions 28 to 507 of the family's 1533-position model. The record is from RNAcentral.
GACGAACGCUGGCGGCGUGCUUAACACAUGCAAGUCGAACGGAAAGGCCCUGCUUUUGUGGGGUGCUCGAGUGGCGAACGGGUGAGUAACACGUGAGUAACCUGCCCUUGACUUUGGGAUAACUUCAGGAAACUGGGGCUAAUACCGGAUAGGAGCUCCUGCUGCAUGGUGGGGGUUGGAAAGUUUCGGCGGUUGGGGAUGGACUCGCGGCUUAUCAGCUUGUUGGUGGGGUAGUGGCUUACCAAGGCUUUGACGGGUAGCCGGCCUGAGAGGGUGACCGGCCACAUUGGGACUGAGAUACGGCGCAGACUACUACGGGAGGCAGCAGUGGGGAAUAUUGCACAAUGGGCGGAAGCCUGAUGCAGAAACGCCGCGUGCGGGAUGACGGCCUUCGGGUUGUAAACCGCUUUCGCCUGUGACGAAGCGUGAGUGACGGUAAUGGGUAAAGAAGCACCGGCUAACUACGUG